AUACGGAGGAUGCAAGCGUUAUCCGGAUUUAUUGGGCUUAAAGGGUGCGUAGGCGGAUGAUUAAGCGUGAGGUGAAAUGCCACUGCUCAACAGUGGAACUGCCUCGCGAACUGGUUGUCUUGAAUGCUCCUGCCGUGGGAGGAAUGUGUGGUGUAGCGGUGAAAUGCAUAGAGAUCACGCAGAACACCGAUUGCGAAGGCAUCUCACGAAGGGGUGAUUGACGCUGAGGCACGAAAGCGUGGGGAUCAAACAGUAUUAGAUACCCUGGUAGUCCACGCAGUAAACGAAGAUAACUAACCGCUGGGUCGUAGUGAUUCAGUGGCCAAGCGAAAGCGAUAAGUUAUCCACCUGGGGAGUACGACCGCAAGGUUGAAACUCAAAGGAAUUGACGGGG
Molecule: ribosomal RNA, 394 nt
Filed under: uncultured bacterium
Lineage: Bacteria
Description: partial 16S ribosomal RNA
Rfam family: Bacterial small subunit ribosomal RNA
Source: RNAcentral